Molecule: ribosomal RNA, 535 nt
Filed under: uncultured bacterium
Lineage: Bacteria
Description: bacterial SSU rRNA
Rfam family: Bacterial small subunit ribosomal RNA
Source: RNAcentral
AAUAGAUACCCGGGUAGUCCACGCCCUAAACGAUGUCGACUGGUUGUUGGGGGUUUGACACUCUCAGUAACGAAGCUAACGCGUGAAGUCGACCGCCUGGGGAGUACGGCCGCAAGGUUAAAACUCAAAGGAAUUGACGGGGACCCGCACAAGCGGUGGAUUAUGUGGAUUAAUUCGAUGCAACGCGAAAAACCUUACCUACCCUUGACAUGUCCUGAAUCCCGCUGAGAGGUGGGAGUGCCCGAAAGGGAACGGGAACACAGGUGCUGCAUGGCUGUCGUCAGCUCGUGUCGUGAGAUGUUGGGUUAAGUCCCGCAACGAGCGCAACCCUUGUCAUUAGUUGCUACGAAAGGGCACUCUAAUGAGACUGCCGGUGACAAACCGGAGGAAGGUGGGGAUGACGUCAAGUCCUCAUGGCCCUUAUGGGUAGGGCUUCACACGUCAUACAAUGGUGCAUACAGAGGGUUGCCAACCCGGCGAGGGGGAGCCAAUCCCAGAAAGUGCAUCGUAGUCCGGAUUGCAGUCUGCAACUCGA